RNAcentral lists this non-coding RNA (184 nucleotides) under Gammaproteobacteria bacterium. RNAcentral's name for it is "6S RNA". It matches the Rfam family "6S / SsrS RNA". Rfam says of the family: E. coli 6S RNA was the first non coding RNA to be sequenced, but its function was unknown until recently. It consists of 184 nucleotides that fold into an extended hairpin structure with a large single-stranded internal bulge. RNAcentral also lists the same sequence under 1 other name. Lineage: Bacteria; Pseudomonadati; Pseudomonadota; Gammaproteobacteria. The record is from RNAcentral.
UGCCCCCUGUGGUGUUUGCCAGCGGGACCGUUAAUGCCUUGUCCCUACAUUUUGACCUCGGGGUAGCUGAUCUGAGUGCUGGUGUGCAUGUUCGCUUACAGCGAAAAGCCUGAAGCCUCGUAAGCCAUCCCACCUGAACCUUUGGUUCAAGGUCACCGGACCGUAGCGGCACCACGGAGGGCUU